GGUCGCCAUCUUAGUAGCUCGCCUUGAGGGACUAAUUGAAGGAAAACCGGGACGUUCCGGGAAAAUACGCCUCUUGCUUUUGCAUUAAUCUGCGUCUCGGUGUCUCACUCCGGGGCAUCUCGAAGUAAGUACCACUGACUGAGUUAGGGUCGUGGGGGUCUUACAGUGCCAUGCGAAUCUGACUCAAAGACAUUAUACUGAGUGCAAGAGGGGUAGUGUGCAAUAUAAGUAAUGUAUAAAUCCGUUGUAUGAACUCACUAGAAAAGUAAACCAAUGGCCACAACAGUUUGAGGGUGAGGAUAACUGAUGAACGGGGAAGGAGCUAAUAGAUUUUCUAAGUUUGGCUUGUGGUCAUCAUUGCGCAAUUUUAGCAGGCUUAUUGUCAUUAUUUGACAACAUUCUAUGCCAACACAAUUCCAUGAUUUGCACCGCAGGAAUAGGAAGAUGUGAAGUAGGAAUUUCUGGUUCCCCACCCACCACUCCAUCAUUCCCCCCCCCCCCCCCUUAGGGUUUCUCUGUAUAGCCCUGGCUGUCCUGGAACUCACUCUGUAGACCAGGCUGGCCUCGAACUCAGAAAUCUGCCUGCCUCUGCCUCCCAAGUGCUGGGAUUAAAGGCAUGUGUCACCAUGCCCGGCUCAAUUUCUGUUUUGUUUUUUUUUUUGUUUUUUUUUGGAGUCUCUGUUGUGUCAUGUGAUGUUUUGUGAUUUUUUUUUUUUCUGGAAACUGUCUUAUGAGAGGAUGAUGUUUUUGCUUAAGCAGACAAGUGAGAGGAUGUUUUUGCUGAAGCAGAUGUGUGGGAGGAUGGUUUGCCGGGAACAGACACGUGGAGUUUUGCUGGAAGCCACCCGGAAAAAGGACAUGUCAUGUUUUUGUUAGAUCGGACACUUGAGAGAACACCUGAUGUUUGGAAAGGAUAAAUAUAGCCCAGAUGAUGCUGUAUGGUAUUGGUACGCCUUGCCGUGCUUGUGAUCAUCUUUUGCAUGACUUCACAGAGGGAAACUUCUGGUGGUAGUCUAGUGGCUUCUUGCCACUUCCACAGACUUGGGCUGAUGGCAGAGCCUCAAAGUUUCUUGGAUCAACCUGCCACUGCUGGUUUGUGAAUGGUGUUUUUGAGUCCUGCUUUUGCUGAUUCCUGAAUGACAUUUGUGAGUGGAUUGAGCUGCCACUACUGGUUAGUGUGGACUGAAUUAUUAAUAUCCUGACAACACAGAUUGGAUUUGCUUCAAAAAACUAUUUCUAAGCAGGUCCAUAUGCUUCUUUGCUCUAUUUAUUAAGUUUUCCUUUCCAUUACCUCUGGUGGGUGGUGAACUAGGAGGUAGGUGAAAGCAUUUAAGAACCCUUAUUAAAAUUAGGUUUUGAAAAAUCUAAGCCUACAAAAAUGUGUUGUUAUAGAAAUUCUAGGUUGUUGUAGAAAUUUUCUCAUUUUCUAGCUCAAAAUUAUAGACCAACUUCAAAGGUGCAAGAGCAGAAUUUCAUUGUGUGUUUAGAAGAAACAAGAAACAAUGUUUGAGAAGCAAAUAAGGACAUGAGGAGUACAGUUUAUUCUGACUUUUUACUUUGUUUUAUUCUUUGAGGGAUUUGACACCUAUUAAAGUCUGACUCUAUUAUAUCUUGCUUAAUUAGUACAAAACUUGAAGCUCAUGGUUAUAGGUUUUAUUACAUUAACCGUGACUCCUUUUGUGUCUUUGGAAGUCGGAGUACCAGUUUUCUUAAAUUAAAUGUUUGUUCUAACUUUAUAUUCAUUGUUUAGUUUCAAACCCUGGGAUGAGGGAUGAACGGGGUCACUGGCGUGGCUGCAAAGCAACUUCUCUCAGGUUUGGCACCAUAUGAUAGGUUAUUUCUCUGCUGUUGGGGUUUGAGAAUCGCCACUCAAACCAUAUAAGCACUGACCUCAGUUAAGCAAGAAUAGUUUAUUGAACAAACACCUUAAACUGAAUGAUCAGGACUGCAGAAAGAACUCAGAAACCUAAUUUUGGUAGUAGUCUGCUCUUAGGGUAGGUUUUUUUUUUUUUUUUUAAAUAGGAAAAACCAGGUUCAAAGGUUUAAAGGGAAAGGAGGGGGGAACAUUUGGUUGACUAGGCAAAAUAUUACCAGCUGAUCGUUAGGAAUUUCCUGUGACUGGCAGGCAUGUUACAGCAAGAAUAUGAAAUAGCUGGCAGGCAUGGGUCAAAAUGGCUACAGCUAUUCUGUGGGUGGGUGUCAGUCCAUUACAUCUGCUGCUACUGGUGAAAUGAGCCAAUUCAAGUCAGAUUAGGCAGGUUUAUUGGGAAACUGCUCUCCAGAGAGUGAGUUCACUGGCCCUAAAGAAGGAGGCCAAGGAUGUCACCAUGGGGGUGGGGG
This 2340-nucleotide long non-coding RNA is filed under the name Mus musculus (house mouse). RNAcentral's name for it is "long non-coding RNA chr5:108060739-108063079". Lineage: Eukaryota; Metazoa; Chordata; Mammalia; Rodentia; Muridae. The record is from RNAcentral.